Molecule: ribosomal RNA, 155 nt
Filed under: Enterococcus faecium
Lineage: Bacteria; Bacillati; Bacillota; Bacilli; Lactobacillales; Enterococcaceae
Description: partial 16S ribosomal RNA
Rfam family: Bacterial small subunit ribosomal RNA
Source: RNAcentral
ACACCGCCCGUCACACCACGAGAGUUUGUAACACCCGAAGUCGGUGAGGUAACCUUUUGGAGCCAGCCGCCUAAGGUGGGAUAGAUGAUUGGGGUGAAGUCGUAACAAGGUAGCCGUAUCGGAAGGUGCGGCUGGAUCACCUCCUUUCUAAGGAA